This 274-nucleotide ribosomal RNA is filed under the name uncultured bacterium. RNAcentral describes it as "partial 16S ribosomal RNA". It matches the Rfam family "Bacterial small subunit ribosomal RNA", at positions 523 to 796 of the family's 1533-position model. The record is from RNAcentral.
AUACGGAGGGUGCGAGCGUUGUUCGGAAUUAUUGGGCGUAAAGAGCAUGUAGGCGGUCUGUUAAGUCUGGUGUGAAAGCCCGGGGCUCCACCCCGGAAGUGCAUUGGAUACUGGCAGACUUGAGUAUGGGAGAGGAAAGCGGAAUUCCGAGUGUAGGAGUGAAAUCCGUAGAUAUUCGGAGGAACACCAGUGGCGAAGGCGGCUUUCUGGACCAAUACUGACGCUGAGAUGCGAAAGCGUGGGGAGCAAACAGGAUUAGAUACCCGAGUAGUCC